AGAGGAGCUUCUUCUGCGGGCAGGACAGAGCAACCGGAGCCCGAGCUGAGGCCGGAGACACGCGUCUAGGAGUCCGGAUCAUCGUGCACACCGAGCACCGACUAAAGCUACAGCAAAAAAGCAGCAAUCGGAAAUUAAAUAGAGCUGAGCUCCGGACUCCAGCAGCGGCGACACUGCUCCCUCUUUGACACCAAGCCGGAACGACAGAGCGCAGUUUUAGCGCCAAAUUACGUCCCGCGAAAUUCGGAUCUCCCGCGGUUUGAGGGGCGCUCUGAUUGGUCGACGGCACGCUGCGGCCCGCGCAACUCCGCAUAAAUUAGCAUAAAGCAGUUGGAGGACGGCGCGACCCCGGCCUUAAAGGGCCAGCGCGUCUUUUUCCCUUUUAUCUCAACAACAAAGAGUUAAGAGUUUCUGUUGUAAAAUAUUUUUUUUUAAAAAAAGACAAUAAAAUAGAGAAAUUGUAUUCGUGAUGAAAAAAUUUCCCAAGCCUGUAGAUUAAGGCUAGGAAUUCUUUACCAGAUAUUUUAAUAUUUGUCAUAAAUAUAACAUAGUUUUCAGGUUUUUCUUUUAAAUGCAUAUUAAGCAGCAGGGACACAGGAAGACAUUUUGGCCCAAGAUGGGGUGAUGAAAAAUUAAAAAGCAACACCAGGAUGAUGAUUGCAUAUGGAAAUCCUCUGAAAUAUCAUAUUCCGAAGCUUUCCUUGUCUUGUGCAUCUCCAAAUAAUAAUAAAAUACAAAAAUAAAAGCAA
Long non-coding RNA from Tachysurus fulvidraco (yellow catfish), 749 nucleotides. RefSeq lists it as uncharacterized. NCBI's taxonomy places the organism in Eukaryota, Metazoa, Chordata, Actinopteri, Siluriformes, Bagridae. The record is from RefSeq and is a predicted model, not a curated record. The transcript has 2 exons.